GAUGAACGCUAGCGGCAGGCUUAACACAUGCAAGUCGAGGGGCAGCACGUCUUCGGAUGGUGGCGACCGGCGCACGGGUGAGUAACGCGUAUGCAAUCUACCUUUUACAGGGGCAUAGCCCGGGGAAACCCGGAUUAAUAUCCUAUAGUACCAUUAUAUAGCAUUAUAUUAUGGUUAAAGUUUCGGCGGUAAAAGAUGAGCAUGCGUCCUAUUAGCUUGAUGGUAAGGUAACGGCUUACCAUGGCUAUGAUAGGUAGGGGUUCUGAGAGGGAGACCCCCCACACUGGUACUGAGACACGGACCAGACUCCUACGGGAGGCAGCAGUGAGGAAUAUUGGACAAUGGGCGCAAGCCUGAUCCAGCCAUGCCGCGUGCAGGAAGACGGCCCUAUGGGUUGUAAACUGCUUUUAUACGGGAAGAAAACGCCCCUUCGUGAAGGGACUUGACGGUACCGUAUGAAUAAGGAUCGGCUAACUCCGUGCCAGCAGCCGCGGUAAUACGGAGGAU
RNAcentral lists this ribosomal RNA (507 nucleotides) under uncultured bacterium. RNAcentral describes it as "bacterial SSU rRNA". It matches the Rfam family "Bacterial small subunit ribosomal RNA", at positions 28 to 533 of the family's 1533-position model. The record is from RNAcentral.